GGUGGAAGCAUGCUAGCUCUUGAAACCUUAAAGCGUGUUGUAGUUGCAGGGAAUCGAGCAAGAGAUGCACUUGUUGCACAGGGUCUCAAGGUUGAUCUUGUGGAAGUUCUUCUUGGCCUUCUUGACUGGCGAGCUGGGGGAAGAAAUGGGCUUUGUUCACAGAAUAACUGGAAUGAAAGCAGCAAUUACCCGGGUUCUUCAAAUUGAGAUGGUCUAGAUGGUUUGAUUUCCAUACAGGCAACGAAGAAAAUUACACCGCCAAACUUGCGAAAGACUUUCAGGCAUAUUUGAAAGUCUGCUUAGAGGGAGACGGCGAGUACUCCUUUUGUUCCCCAAGCCAUCUUCCUUCUAGCUACUCAGCAGACGAUGCAGAUAUAAGAGUCCGAUAAAGUGAGCUCGUCUUGUGAAUCUAGGAGGUACACCAAUUAAGGAAUUUUAACGUUUGUGGUAAAUGUAAUUUAAAAAUGGCAAACAUAUAAUAAACCAUCUUUUCAUCAACAGGCCAUUGUAAAUUUGGUUCAGCCUGAAAUUGAAAUGAGAUUCACUAUUUGCGGAGUAUACAUAGUGUUUGUAACUUUGUACAAGUACUUGCAUUUGUGGUUUCUCAUCCAACAUAUGUUAUGGUACCCGUCGCAUGUGCAACUUCAUCAAAUUUGUCUUGUCGCCAUCUAAUUUAUAGUUCUUUCUUUUUCUUUCAUUUUUGUCUUCCAUCUUUCUUUUAAACUCUUCCAAUGAAGUUCAUCACAUAAUUUUCUUUCAGUUGCAUUUGCUACACUUGUUGAGAAGACCACGGUGAUGUUUCCGGAAGUGUUUUAGUAUUGGUGCUCCGUGGUGCAGCAUAAGAAUUGGCGGGUGAUUAGUACAGUUGUUGAACAAAACCUUCCUGCCAAAAAGGUAUUACUCGAGGACAACGUCAAAUCAUUCAUCAGAUGGAUACUCUGAGCAGGCUCCUACAUGAAUAUUAUGGGAAAAAAGCUCUCAUCAAGGACGAAUACAUAGCAUAUGACUCUUUGGUUGU
Molecule: non-coding RNA, 1018 nt
Organism: Sesamum indicum (sesame)
Lineage: Eukaryota; Viridiplantae; Streptophyta; Magnoliopsida; Lamiales; Pedaliaceae
Source: RefSeq, a predicted model, not a curated record